AGAGAGCGGUUUGAUAUGUCACUGAAACCAGCAUCCAGGUGGUAUUGCUCCAUAUGCCUGAGACCCUAACAAAAGCCUAAUUACAACUCAUAUGCCUGGAGCCAGGACAUGUGCAGGAUGGUGAUGUAACUUUCCUCUCUGGAAUGGGUCCUGCACAAAGGAAUGAUAGUAACAUAUUGCAAAGCCAGACACACAGCCAUGAUGGUCCAAGUUAUAUUGGGAUUCAGCCAAUAGAAGAUAUUUUGCCUGUCAUCCCUAAGCUUAGGACAAUAGACUCUGCCAAGAGAGGGGAUUAUUACAUAUUGCAGAGCCCAGCACCUAGGUGGAGUGACUCUCAUCUUUUUCUUCUACCCCGUAUAUAGCCAGCUUGGUGACCUACUAUUUGAGUCUAUACCCAGGCCCAGACCACAGAUGAAAUUGUGCAAUAUGUGGAACAAACACCUAAACAAUAUAUAACACCUUCCUUGGCUCUGUCUACAAAGGGCACUUUUAUAUAUCACUGGGACCAUCAACCAGGUGAUGUUAAUUAUCUUCCUGAAACCUGUCUACAAAGAGAGUUGUGUCGUAUACCUAGGCCCGUCAUGGUCCUGCGUACUAGGUGGAUUGUGACAUCUCACUGGACCCGCAACCAUGUAGGUCAUGUGACUUUCAUGCCUUCUCACUGGCCACAGGUGAUGUUGUGCCAUAUAACUGAGACCGUAUCAAAAGCCUAAUAACAAGACGUAUGUCUGGAGCCCCGAUAUGCACAGGAUGGUGAUAUAACCCUCUUCUCUGGAAUGGGCCCCACACAAAGGAAGGAUAGUGACAUAUUGCAAGCCCAGGCACACAGGCCCAGAGCACAGUUGAAAUUGUGACAUAUGUACACCAAGCAACCAAGCAAUGUAUAACACCUCAUUUGGCAAUGGAAUCGAGGGCACUUUUACAUAUCACUGAGACCAGCGCCCAGCUGAUGUGAAAUAUUGGCCUGAACCCUGCCUACAAAAGCAUUGUGGCUUUUAUCUAGCUCCAUUACAUAAGUGAUGUGACUUC
Homo sapiens (human) is the source of this 1029-nucleotide long non-coding RNA. Ensembl annotates it as long intergenic non-protein coding RNA 293. Lineage: Eukaryota; Metazoa; Chordata; Mammalia; Primates; Hominidae. The record is from Ensembl.